UUCUCCAGGAGUUUAGAGUAGGGUGAGAGAAGAAAAGAAAACUGAGAAAAAUUCAAAGCUUUCCCGAAUAGGUAGCAAAGUUGGAAGCCACUGACGACGACGGCAAAAAGAAAGUAAAAGUGAAGAAGUGCGGCAUCUUUUAAUCGAGUGGCUUAAAAUUAAAAGAAAUUAAAAAUAAAGUAAAGUUCAUAUAAGAACAUAUAUGGUGGUAUAUAAAAUAAAAUAAAUAUAUAUAAAUUCAAAUAUACGGUGAAGUAGCCAGUAGCCCAGCUAUACAUAAUACGGAAGUAACAGAAUAAAAGAUACGGCGCUUGCAAAGAUCCCUACUCGAGCUCCGAAUUGACGGACAGGGUCCAGGCGGUGGAUGGUAGAAUCUAGAGGAUAAAACAGAAGAUACAUUUAAAGAAACAUAAAUCGAAAAAUUUAGUUCGGGAAAUUUAAAGGCCCGAGACUCGCGAAGUAGGCAAGGCUAGUCACUGUAGCAUAACCGUUGAUCCGCAGGCAGCGGUCAAAACGGUCAAGCCAAACAAAGAGGCCACACAAGAGUCUGCACAGGAGGAGCAUCAUAUUUGAAUUCAGCAAGAAGCAGAAAUUUGUAAUUUUAAUCUUUAUCAUUUUUUGGCGUGAUUUGUAUUUAAUUAUUUGUAGUUUUGUUGUUGAUUCAUUUCAUGUGAAGAAGUUAAUUAACUAUAUAAAAUAAUUUACAAAAACAAAAAGUAAAAGAGGUACACAGGGUCGGGUCGUACACUGUCGCGUAGUCGCGUUGCCGUUGAGGUAGAAUUAAAGUUCCGACAGUAGGCUACUUUAACCGAGCUCGAUUAGGGUAGGGCUGUUAGGGAGUGAACCGAGUUGGCCUUAGGCAAAAGUUAAUUUACCGUGGUGUCCAAAAAAAGUAGUACACCCACACAAAAAGUAAUUAAUAAUUUUUGGCGACGGGAUCGAACCCGACUACUGGUUUUUUUUUGAAAUUAAAAUAAAAUAAAAAA
Long non-coding RNA from Eupeodes corollae, 986 nucleotides. RefSeq lists it as uncharacterized. The transcript is spliced from 3 exons. The record is from RefSeq and is a predicted model, not a curated record. Lineage: Eukaryota; Metazoa; Arthropoda; Insecta; Diptera; Syrphidae.